UACGUAGGGGUCUAGCGUUGUCCGGAUUCAUUGGGCGUAAAGCGCGCGUAGGCGGCUCGGAAAGUCGGUCGUGAAAUGCCGGGGCUCAACCCCGGGACUGCGCCCGAUACUUCCGGGCUGGAGGUAGGUAGGGGAGAUCGGAAUUCCUGGUGUAGCGGUGAAAUGCGCAGAUAUCAGGAGGAACACCGGUGGCGAAGGCGGAUCUCUGGGCCUUACCUGACGCUGAGGCGCGAAAGCUAGGGGAGCGAACAGG
This 253-nucleotide ribosomal RNA is filed under the name uncultured bacterium. Its description in RNAcentral is "partial 16S ribosomal RNA". It matches the Rfam family "Bacterial small subunit ribosomal RNA", at positions 524 to 776 of the family's 1533-position model. The record is from RNAcentral.